CCUACGGGAGGCAGCAGUGGGGAAUAUUGCACAAUGGGGGAAACCCUGAUGCAGCGACGCCGCGUGAGUGAAGAAGUAUUUCGGUAUGUAAAGCUCUAUCAGCAGGGAAGAAGAAAGACGGUACCUGACUAAGAAGCCCCGGCUAACUACGUGCCAGCAGCCGCGGUAAUACGUAGGGGGCAAGCGUUAUCCGGAUUUACUGGGUGUAACGGGAGCGUAGACGGCGGGGCAAGUCUGAAGUGAAAGCCCAGGGCUCAACCCUGGGACUGCUUUGGAAACUGUGGGGCUAGAGUGCUGGAGAGGUAAGUGGAAUUCCUAGUGUAGCGGUGAAAUGCGUAGAUAUUAGGAGGAACACCAGUGGCGAAGGCGGCUUACUGGACAGUAACUGACGUUGAGGCUCGAAAGCGUGGGGAGCAAACAGGAUUAGAUACCCGAGUAGUC
RNAcentral lists this ribosomal RNA (441 nucleotides) under uncultured bacterium. Its description in RNAcentral is "partial 16S ribosomal RNA". It matches the Rfam family "Bacterial small subunit ribosomal RNA", at positions 338 to 795 of the family's 1533-position model. The record is from RNAcentral.